GGAGAGGUGGCAGAGCGGUUGAAUGUACCUGACUCGAAAUCAGGCAGGGGUUUAUAGCCCCUCGGGGGUUCGAAUCCCCCCCUCUCCGCCA
Molecule: transfer RNA, 91 nt
Filed under: Gammaproteobacteria bacterium
Lineage: Bacteria; Pseudomonadati; Pseudomonadota; Gammaproteobacteria
Also listed under: 2 other names
Description: tRNA-Ser
Rfam family: Proteobacterial sRNA sX4
Source: RNAcentral